GUGCUCACUUCGGUGGGACAUAUACAGUAAUUGGAAGGAUGCAGAGAAAUUCAGCAUGGCCUCUGAGCAAAUGGCACGCAAACUCAUAAACUGUUCUGUAUUAUU
This 105-nucleotide small nuclear RNA is filed under the name Microcebus murinus (gray mouse lemur). Lineage: Eukaryota; Metazoa; Chordata; Mammalia; Primates; Cheirogaleidae. The record is from RNAcentral.